UACAGAGGGUGCGAGCGUUAAUCGGAAUUACUGGGCGUAAAGCGCGCGUAGGCGGUUUUGUAAGUCGGGUGUGAAAGCCCCGGGCUUAACUUGGGAACUGCGCUCGAAACUAUGGUGCUGGAGUGUGGCAGAGGAAGGUGGAAUUCCACGUGUAGCGGUGAAAUGCGUAGAGAUGUGGAGGAACACCGAUGGCGAAGGCAGCCUUCUGGGCCAACACUGACGCUCAUGCACGAAAGCGUGGGGAGCAAACAGG
Molecule: ribosomal RNA, 253 nt
Filed under: uncultured bacterium
Lineage: Bacteria
Description: partial 16S ribosomal RNA
Rfam family: Bacterial small subunit ribosomal RNA
Source: RNAcentral